GCUCCGUUGGUGAACCAGCGGAGGGAUCAUUACAGAGUUUUCACAACUCCCAACCCUUGCGAACCGUACCCAUUCUGUUCUCGUUGCUUCCGGCGGGGGGGACGGGGGGGCCCGGCGCCCCCCGGCCCCCCGUGGGCGCCCGCCGGAGGUAAACCAAACCCUUGAAUUGCAUGGCCUCUCUGAGUCUUCUGUACUGAAUAAGUCAAAACUUUCAACAACGGAUCUCUUGGUUCUG
RNAcentral lists this unclassified non-coding RNA (235 nucleotides) under plant metagenome. RNAcentral's name for it is "partial contains small subunit ribosomal RNA, internal transcribed spacer 1, and 5.8S ribosomal RNA". The record is from RNAcentral.